Homo sapiens (human) is the source of this 839-nucleotide long non-coding RNA. Ensembl annotates it as long intergenic non-protein coding RNA 1411. The record is from Ensembl. NCBI's taxonomy places the organism in Eukaryota, Metazoa, Chordata, Mammalia, Primates, Hominidae.
UAUACACUUAGAGUUCUGGAGCGCAGGAGUCUGAAAUGGGAGCCCAGCUGGGACAAUGUGUGAAUCAACGCAUGAAGGAGUGAGUGAGCAGCUAACCAAAUGAAAGAAUACUCAGAUAUCUGGGGUACAGUUCCCCUCCAGGUUUGCACAGCAUCUGCUGAAGUCUCCACUAGAAACUCAAUGGAAGGUCCCCACCGGAAACUGAAAGUCUCCUAGAGUGGCUUUGAGUUGCGGUUUCACCCUCCCUGCAGAUCCACAGGGGAGGCUGGGGCAGAUGGAAAAUACCAACUUGAUGGUCUGUGGCCACACCAUGCUGCUCCCCAAGGCCCCUCAGAAUUUCACUGCCCAAUAUGGUAGCGCCCAGCCUGAAACGUGGCCAGUGUGAAUUGAGAUGGGCUGGAAAUGCACCAGACUUCCAAGAGCUGGACAAAAACCAUAUACUUUCCAUCCAGCUGUUUGGCAUUGGAUACUGCUGCCUCUGCUUGACUUGAGAAUGUGUGAGAAAAGCUGUGUUUAGACAACUGAAAACCAUGAGCUUGAAAGUAGUGGGGGCACACUCUUGGAGACUCCAGUUGCUCACCAGCUUGGACAAACCACUGGACUCAAAUGAUCAGGUAGAAAUUCAUCACUGGAGAGAACACAGUGGAAUGGCUUCAGCGAAAACUCACUCUGAAGGUCUUCAGGGCAACUUUAAGACUUGCCCCUGGCCGGGCACAGUGGCUUAUGCCUAUAAUCCCAGCACUUUGGGAGGCCGAGGCGGGUGGAUCACCUGAGGUCAGGAGUUCAAGACCAGCCUGGCCAAUAUGGCGAAACCCUGUCUCUACUAAAAAUCCAAAAAA